ACAUAGAGAUGGCUUCAUUUGACAGCGAUGAGGACACAGUCUUUGAGACAAGAAAUCUGAAGCGAUGACUUGGGAUUGACCAGUGGCUUCAGCUGCAUAGACUGACCAAGAGGUGCAAGUCCACCAGUGGGAAUCGCCUUACCAAUCCUCGGGUUUUAUUUGUUCUAAUUGCUUACAAUGAGUACUACUUAACAGCACAAAAACUUACGUAGCUGGGGCAGGGGGAAGGGAACCAAAUCUAUUUCCUUCACAGGAAAUUUCCUAUUUCCUUUUGUUGGGGAAGGUGGAGUUGCAAAGUCGAUGAUGUUGCACAGGGAGAUGCUUGCUAAUGGAAAUGUCACUCCUGGAUGAGGACUCAGCAUUUGAAAACUUCUGGCUCUGGACCCGAGGUAUUGCAGCUCUGUGUGCUGGCCUGUGAAUCUUACCAGUAUUUUAUAUGUGCUCAUCUCCCUCUCUGCCGACUGCUGCACUCAAGAUAUCAGGCAAGUGGAUUCCUUCUGGAGGCAGAUCCUGUUUCCUUUGUGCAGCAUCGAGUUACUUCUUUAGUAAAUGUCUCUGUAAUCAACUCCUCAUGUGUUGAGUGGGGAGGGCUCUCGUUAUCUGUUACGCUGGCAGGAGAUGUGGGUAGUGUUGCCUUAGCUCAGGAAGGAGCAGCGAGUUAAAUACGUCCCGGUUCUUGUAGUUAUAGGGCUCGUAGUUCCACGUGAUAAUACAGGUCUACAGGUCUGUUUUGCUCUUUGGAUAGCAAAAAUAUGUUUACAAGUGCAAGGUGCCAGUGGGCCUGAAGGACCCGUUCCUUCGAGGGAGCGUCGGUUUGCAUAGCCCGGGGUUUGUGGGUGCUGGGGCUGCUUCUCCCAGCCCAAGCUGGUGGUUGCAGUGGCCCCUUCACCAGGGAGGUACCUGCUGUGUGCUGGGCUCAGGCUGCUGCGCCACUCCUGGUGCGACAAACGCCUUGUGUUUGAAUCACUGUCCUCUGCAAAAGGAGGAGCAGAGAAGGCAGCACUGCCAGGCCGUUAUGAUCCUUAAACUAAGACAUCCCUGGCUCAGAACAUCCCUGGCUCUUCAUAGGGAGGCUCAGAGUUUCGCUCUGUCUGCUGGUACUCAGAUUGCGUCGCGUGUCAGCCCAACAAGCUGGGAGGUUCCUUAGCUGGAGGUUUGGCUUGAUAUUUGGGUUCUUACAAUGCAGGACCAAAUGUGUGCAGAAAAUCUCUUUCCU
Long non-coding RNA from Nothoprocta perdicaria, 1216 nucleotides. RefSeq lists it as uncharacterized. The record is from RefSeq and is a predicted model, not a curated record. The transcript has 2 exons. NCBI's taxonomy places the organism in Eukaryota, Metazoa, Chordata, Aves, Tinamiformes, Tinamidae.